AAUUAGCUGGUUAAGAACAACCGACAAAGACAAAAAUAUUUAUUGGUACAAUAAACAUAACAUACAAAUGGGCUGUCAAAAUCAAUCGUCUAUUAAUUCACAUUAUAAAUACCUCCAAAUUCUGUAUAUAUUGUUAAGAUGGAGUCACAGAAUCAUUUCAUCAAAAACCAUAGGCUCUCAAAAGUCGACAACCACCUAUGGUCCCGGAACUCCCAAUGGGCCAAGAAAACCUCAAAAUAACAGGUAGACUACCUACCCCUAAAAUUAUGAUGCGAUAACCAUGCGUCAAGGAUCUCCAUUUGUAGAUUAACAAAAAAGAUGAAAUUUUCAUGAACCAAAGAGAAACGGGUUCACCUUCAAAUCAUGGGUUUUUCAUGUUUAACCAGAAAGAGCUAUAGGUCAACAUGGAUCUUAGAAAAGCAUUCACCUUUUGUUUAAGUUGUUAAAAUGAAAAUAACAGUAAUGCUAAUGAAACCCGAAAAUUUCAGAUUCCACAAGUAAAAAUAUAUAAAACACA
RNAcentral lists this unclassified non-coding RNA (517 nucleotides) under Hevea brasiliensis (rubber tree). The record is from RNAcentral. Lineage: Eukaryota; Viridiplantae; Streptophyta; Magnoliopsida; Malpighiales; Euphorbiaceae.